UACGAAAGGGGCAAGCGUUGUUCGGAUUUACUGGGCGUAAAGGGCACGCAGGCGGUCUUGCCAGUCAGGGGUGAAAGCCCGGGGCUCAACCCCGGAACUGCCUCUGAUACUGCAAGACUAGAGACUAGGAGAGGGUGGUGGAAUUCCCAGUGUAGAGGUGAAAUUCGUAGAUAUCGGGAGGAACACCAGUGGCGAAGGCGGCCUUCUGGCCUUAACCUGACGCUGAGGAGCGAAAGCUAGGGGAGCAAACGGG
RNAcentral lists this ribosomal RNA (253 nucleotides) under uncultured microorganism. RNAcentral's name for it is "partial 16S ribosomal RNA". It matches the Rfam family "Bacterial small subunit ribosomal RNA", at positions 524 to 776 of the family's 1533-position model. The record is from RNAcentral.